CCUACGGGAGGCAGCAGUGAGGAAUAUUGGUCAAUGGACGAGAGUCUGAACCAGCCAAGUAGCGUGAAGGAUGACUGCCCUAUGGGUUGUAAACUUCUUUUAUAUGGGAAUAAAAUGUUCCACGUGUGGGAUUUUGUAUGUACCAUAUGAAUAAGGAUCGGCUAACUCCGUGCCAGCAGCCGCGGUAAUACGGAGGAUCCGAGCGUUAUCCGGAUUUAUUGGGUUUAAAGGGAGCGUAGGUGGUUUGAUAAGUCAGUUGUGAAAGUUUGCGGCUCAACCGUAAAAUUGCAGUUGAAACUGGCAGUCUUGAGUACAGUAGAGGUGGGCGGAAUUCGUGGUGUAGCGGUGAAAUGCUUAGAUAUCACGAAGAACUCCGAUUGCGAAGGCAGUUCACUGGACUGCAACUGACACUGAGGCUCGAAAGUGUGGGUAUCAAACAGGAUUAGAUACCCGGGUAGUC
RNAcentral lists this ribosomal RNA (460 nucleotides) under uncultured bacterium. RNAcentral describes it as "partial 16S ribosomal RNA". It matches the Rfam family "Bacterial small subunit ribosomal RNA", at positions 338 to 795 of the family's 1533-position model. The record is from RNAcentral.